RNAcentral lists this ribosomal RNA (583 nucleotides) under uncultured bacterium. RNAcentral describes it as "partial 16S ribosomal RNA". It matches the Rfam family "Bacterial small subunit ribosomal RNA", at positions 355 to 935 of the family's 1533-position model. The record is from RNAcentral.
UGGGGAAUUUUGGACAAUGGGCGAAAGCCUGAUCCAGCAAUGCCGCGUGUGUGAAGAAGGCCUUCGGGUUGUAAGGCACUUUUGUCCGGAAAGAAAUGGCUCUGGUUAAUACCUGGGGUCGAUGACGGUACCGGAAGAAUAAGGACCGGCUAACUACGUGCCAGCAGCCGCGGUAAUACGUAGGGUCCAAGCGUUAAUCGGAAUUACUGGGCGUAAAGCGUGCGCAGGCGGUUGUGCAAGACCGAUGUGAAAUCCCCGAGCUUAACUUGGGAAUUGCAUUGGUGACUGCACGGCUAGAGUGUGUCAGAGGGGGGUAGAAUUCCACGUGUAGCAGUGAAAUGCGUAGAGAUGUGGAGGAAUACCGAUGGCGAAGGCAGCCCCCUGGGAUAACACUGACGCUCAUGCACGAAAGCGUGGGGAGCAAACAGGAUUAGAUACCCUGGUAGUCCACGCCCUAAACGAUGUCAACUAGUUGUUGGGGAUUCAUUUCCUUAGUAACGUAGCUAACGCGUGAAGUUGACCGCCUGGGGAGUACGGUCGCAAGAUUAAAAGCUCAAAUGAAUUGACGGGGUCAUAGCUGUUU